AGUGAACGCUGGCGGUAGGCCUAACACAUGCAAGUCGAACGGCAGCACAGUAAGAGCUUGCUCUUACGGGUGGCGAGUGGCGGACGGGUGAGGAAUACAUCGGAAUCUACUUUUUCGGGGGGGAUAACGUAGGGAAACUUACGCUAAUACCGCAUACGACCUACGGGUGAAAGCAGGGGAUCUUCGGACCUUGCGCGACUGAAUGAGCCGAUGUCGGAUUAGCUAGUUGGCGGGGUAAAGGCCCACCAAGGCGACGAUCCGUAGCUGGUCUGAGAGGAUGAUCAGCCACACUGGAACUGAGACACGGUCCAGACUCCUACGGGAGGCAGCAGUGGGGAAUAUUGGACAAUGGGCGAAAGCCUGACCCAGCCAUACCGCGUGGGUGAAGAAGGUCUUCGGGUUGUAAAGCCCUGUUGUUGGGAAAGAAAAGCAGCAGGUUAAUACCCCGCUGUUCUGACGGUACCCAAAGAAUAAGCACCGGCUAACUUCGUG
RNAcentral lists this ribosomal RNA (492 nucleotides) under uncultured bacterium. Its description in RNAcentral is "partial 16S ribosomal RNA". It matches the Rfam family "Bacterial small subunit ribosomal RNA", at positions 29 to 507 of the family's 1533-position model. The record is from RNAcentral.